Molecule: small RNA, 545 nt
Filed under: Oncostemum cf. palmiforme PF1631
Lineage: Eukaryota; Viridiplantae; Streptophyta; Magnoliopsida; Ericales; Primulaceae
Description: eukaryotic LSU rRNA
Rfam family: 5.8S ribosomal RNA (bases 226-381)
Source: RNAcentral
AGCAGAACGACCCGUGAACUUGUCUCUACUAUAGGGAUGCAUCGGAUCGGUCCUCGACCCUCCGGUGUCAUCCCAUACCAGGGGGUGAGCUCGUUGUCCACCUCGGCUGCGAGUUCAAUUCCCUGGUCGAACAACGAACCCCGGCGCAAACCGCGCCAAGGAAAUUUAACAAAGACCCUUUUCUCCCGUGCGCCGGUUGUGAGGGAUUCUUGCAUAUAACAAAAUGACUCUUGGCAACGGAUAUCUAGGCUCUCGCAUCGAUGAAGAACGUAGCAAAAUGCGAUACUUGGUGUGAAUUGCAGAAUCCCGUGAACCAUCGAGUUUUUGAACGCAAGUUGCGCCCGAAGCCACUAGGCCGAGGGCACGUCUGCCUGGGCGUCCCACAAUGCGUCGCUCCCCCACUCACCUCGGGUGUCGUGUGAGGUGCGGAUACUGGCUCCCCGUGUGCUAUCGCGCGCGGUCAGCCUAAAAGUGAAUCCCGACGAUCGGUGUCGCGGCAAGUGGUGGUUUUCAAACCGUUGCAUGUUGUCGUGCACGCUUCGAUC